Long non-coding RNA from Photinus pyralis (common eastern firefly), 251 nucleotides. RefSeq lists it as uncharacterized. The record is from RefSeq and is a predicted model, not a curated record. Lineage: Eukaryota; Metazoa; Arthropoda; Insecta; Coleoptera; Lampyridae. The transcript is spliced from 2 exons.
AAAUCCAGUCGUACAAUUAACCCUACAUUCCACAAUUAAAUAAUCUCACUUUUCCACUAAAAUGUUUCAGGAAAUAUGGAAAUUCAUAAAUUACUGGUACUUUCGCUAUCUACUAAUAACCGAAUUAUACAUGGUUGAGAAAUGGGAGCGAGUGAUGAUACACAUCGUCUUCUUGAUCAUAUUUACAGUAAUCGGCCUCUUCAAUUGGACCGUCGUGCUUGGAUUAGUGGGAUACGUAGUCGGACCAAUCG